AACGGCGAGUGAAGCGGCAAAAGCUCAAAUUUGAAAUCUGGCUUCGGCCCGAGUUGUAAUUUGUAGAGGAUGUUUCGGGCACCGCCCCGGCGUAAGUCCCUUGGAACAGGGCGUCAUAGAGGGUGAGAAUCCCGUCUGGCGUCGUGGUAGGGCCCAUGUGAAACUCCUUCGACGAGUCGAGUUGUUUGGGAAUGCAGCUCAAAAUGGGUGGUAAAUUUCAUCUAAAGCUAAAUACUGGCCAGAGACCGAUAGCGCACAAGUAGAGUGAUCGAAAGAUGAAAAGCACUUUGAAAAGAGAGUUAAACAGUAUGUGAAAUUGUUGAAAGGGAAGCGCUUACAACCAGACUUGAGCCCGUCGGUUCCCCCUCGCUUCUGCGUGGGCUACUCCGGCGGGUCCAGGCCAACAUCGGUUCGGGUGGCUGGUCAAAGGCCCCGGGAAUGUACCUCACCUUCGGGUUAGGCUUAUAGCCCGGGGUGUCAUGCGGCCUACCUGGACCGAGGAACGCGCUUCGGCUCGGAUGUUGGCGUAAUGGUUGUCAGCGACCCGUCUUGAAACACGGACCAAGGAGUCGAAGAGCUAUGCGAGUGUUUGGGUGUCAAACCCGUACGCGUAAUGAAAGUGAACGGAGGUAGGAAGCUUCGGCUGCACUAUCGACCGAUCCUGAUGUUCUCGGAUGGAUUUGAGUAAGAGCAUAACUCUCCGGACCCGAAAGAUGGUGAACUAUGCCUGAAUAGGGUGAAGCCAGAGGAAACUCUGGUGGAGGCUCGCAGCGGUUCUGACGUGCAAAUCGAUCGUCAAAUUUGGGUAUAGGGGCGAAAGACUAAUCGAACCAGUAGCUGGUUCCUGCCGAAGUUUCCCUCAGGAUAGCAGUAACGUUUUCAGUUUUAUGAGGUAAAGCGAAUGAUUAGAGGCCUUGGGGUUGAAACAACCUUAACCUAUUCUCAACUUUAAAUAUGUAAGAAGUCCUUGUUACUUAGUUGAACGUGGACAUUUGAUGUAUCGUACUAGUGGGCAUUUUUGUAGCAG
RNAcentral lists this ribosomal RNA (1027 nucleotides) under Chaetothyriales sp. RNAcentral's name for it is "LSU rRNA". It matches the Rfam family "Eukaryotic large subunit ribosomal RNA", at positions 85 to 1147 of the family's 3401-position model. Lineage: Eukaryota; Fungi; Ascomycota; Eurotiomycetes; Chaetothyriales. The record is from RNAcentral.